UAGUGUGAUGGAUCAGCACGGCAGACCGGAUAUCUGUAAGAACGGGUUCGAAUCCCGU
Molecule: transfer RNA, 58 nt
Filed under: Dictyocaulus viviparus (bovine lungworm)
Lineage: Eukaryota; Metazoa; Nematoda; Chromadorea; Rhabditida; Metastrongylidae
Source: Rfam by way of RNAcentral